Molecule: long non-coding RNA, 261 nt
Filed under: Phoenix dactylifera (date palm)
Lineage: Eukaryota; Viridiplantae; Streptophyta; Magnoliopsida; Arecales; Arecaceae
Description: long non-coding RNA (PDAC_LNC000663)
Source: RNAcentral
AGAGAGAGAGAGAGAGAGAGAGAGAGAGGAGCUGCCUCUCUUUUUGGGUUAUUAUUAGUGCUGCUGUCUGUUGGAAGGAAGCCAAUGUCGCUUGCCAAACUCCAAACAAGGCUUCUCACUCGGUGGCGGGAGCGUGAAAGCAAUGCAGGGGAAGCAAACUCUCCCUAUGAGGAGGAAGCAGCAGUGAAGUAUCUCAGUUUCUGGUUGCACCAUCGAGAGAGAGAUAUAGAGGCUUUGAAGAGGCUAUUAUGAGGACUUUUG